Molecule: ribosomal RNA, 1016 nt
Filed under: uncultured bacterium
Lineage: Bacteria
Description: bacterial SSU rRNA
Rfam family: Bacterial small subunit ribosomal RNA
Source: RNAcentral
AGGAAUAUUGGUCAAUGGACGAGAGUCUGAACCAGCCAAGUAGCGUGAAGGAUGAAGGUUCUAUGGAUUGUAAACUUCUUUUAUACGGGAAUAAACGGAUCCACGUGUGGAUUUUUGCAUGUACCGUAUGAAUAAGGAUCGGCUAACUCCGUGCCAGCAGCCGCGGUAAUACGGAGGAUCCGAGCGUUAUCCGGAUUUAUUGGGUUUAAAGGGAGCGUAGGCGGGUUGUUAAGUCAGUUGUGAAAGUUUGCGGCUCAACCGUAAAAUUGCAGUUGAUACUGGCGACCUUGAGUGCAACAGAGGUAGGCGGAAUUCGUGGUGUAGCGGUGAAAUGCUUAGAUAUCACGAAGAACUCCGAUUGCGAAGGCAGCUUACUGGAUUGUAACUGACGCUGAUGCUCGAAAGUGUGGGUAUCAAACAGGAUUAGAUACCCUGGUAGUCCACACAGUAAACGAUGAAUACUCGCUGUUGGCGAUAUACGGUCAGCGGCCAAGCGAAAGCAUUAAGUAUUCCACCUGGGGAGUACGCCGGCAACGGUGAAACUCAAAGGAAUUGACGGGGGCCCGCACAAGCGGAGGAACAUGUGGUUUAAUUCGAUGAUACGCGAGGAACCUUACCCGGGCUUAAAUUGCAACUGACUGAAUCGGAAACGGUUCUUUCUUCGGACAGUUGUGAAGGUGCUGCAUGGUUGUCGUCAGCUCGUGCCGUGAGGUGUCGGCUUAAGUGCCAUAACGAGCGCAACCCUUAUCGAUAGUUACUAGCAGGUAAUGCUGAGGACUCUAUCGAGACUGCCGUCGUAAGAUGUGAGGAAGGUGGGGAUGACGUCAAAUCAGCACGGCCCUUACGUCCGGGGCUACACACGUGUUACAAUGGGGGGUACAGAAGGCAGCUACACGGCGACGUGGUGCUAAUCCCAAAAGCCUCUCUCAGUUCGGAUUGGAGUCUGCAACCCGACUCCAUGAAGCUGGAUUCGCUAGUAAUCGCGCAUCAGCCACGGCGCGGUGAAUACGUUCCCG